This 492-nucleotide ribosomal RNA is filed under the name uncultured bacterium. Its description in RNAcentral is "partial 16S ribosomal RNA". It matches the Rfam family "Bacterial small subunit ribosomal RNA", at positions 29 to 507 of the family's 1533-position model. The record is from RNAcentral.
AGUGAACGCUGGCGGUAGGCCUAACACAUGCAAGUCGAACGGCAGCACAGUAAGAGCUUGCUCUUACGGGUGGCGAGUGGCGGACGGGUGAGGAAUACAUCGGAAUCUACUUUUUCGUGGGGGAUAACGUAGGGAAACUUACGCUAAUACCGCAUACGACCUACGGGUGAAAGCAGGGGAUCUUCGGACCUUGCGCGAUUGAAUGAGCCGAUGUCGGAUUAGCUAGUUGGCGGGGUAAAGGCCCACCAAGGCGACGAUCCGUAGCUGGUCUGAGAGGAUGAUCAGCCACACUGGAACUGAGACACGGUCCAGACUCCUACGGGAGGCAGCAGUGGGGAAUAUUGGACAAUGGGCGCAAGCCUGAUCCAGCCAUACCGCGUGGGUGAAGAAGGCCUUCGGGUUGUAAAGCCCUUUUGUUGGGAAAGAAAAGCAGCAGGUUAAUACAACGCUGUUCUGACGGUACCCAAAGAAUAAGCACCGGCUAACUUCGUG